AUACGGAGGAUGCAAGCGUUAUCCGGAUUUAUUGGGUUUAAAGGGUGCGUAGGCUGUGGGGAAAGUCAGGGGUGAAAGCCCGGCGCUUAACGCCGGAACUGCCUUUGAUACUUCUCCGCUGGAAUACGGAUGCCGUGGGAGGAAUGAGUAGUGUAGCGGUGAAAUGCAUAGAUAUUACUCAGAACACCGAUUGCGAAGGCAUCUCACGAAUCCGUCAUUGACGCUGAGGCACGAAAGCGUGAGAGUCAAACAGUAUUAGAUACCCUGGUAGACCAAGCAGUAAACGAUGAUAACUAACCCACGGCGAUACACAGUCGGUGGCCAAGCGAAAGCGAUAAGUUAUCCACCUGGGGAGUACGUUCGCAAGAAUGAAACUCAAAUGAAUUGACGGGG
Molecule: ribosomal RNA, 393 nt
Filed under: uncultured bacterium
Lineage: Bacteria
Description: partial 16S ribosomal RNA
Rfam family: Bacterial small subunit ribosomal RNA
Source: RNAcentral